GCGCGAGACUCCACCUGCCUGUCGCGGCCCGCGGGCAGCGCUUCGGGGCUGCUGCGCGGCGGCCUUGACCACCUUGGUAUAGCAGAGGAGGAAACGGAAGCUCAGACAGCCCGCUGGGCCGCUCCGAGCUCCGGGCUGGCUGCCGCGCGCUCCCGGUCUGCUGUUCCGCGGAGGGCACAACAAAGGGCCCCCCGGGCAGCCCGCUCAGAGACCGACUACUGAAACCCUCGGGCCAGGUUCUCGUUUUUGCUUUGUUUGGUUUUGGUUUUCUGGCGUCCUUAAACUCUGAGAUUUCUCCCGAUUCCGGUUCGAGACCUCCCGGGUUAAGUAAGGUUCCUGCCCUGACUUCCAUUGAUGAUGGACUGUGCUUGGGGCAUGGUUUCUCUGUGUAGCUUUGGAGCCUACCCUGGCACUCGCUCUGUAGACCAGGCUGCCUUGAACUCACAGAGAUCCUCCUGCCUCUGCCUCCUGAGUGCUGGGAUUAAAGGCGUGCGCCACCAACGCCUGGCCAAAUGUUUUUUUAAAAAGAAUCUUUAAUAAAUGAAGUGAAAAAAGGAGGAGGAGGAGAAGAAGAAGAGGAAGAAGAUUAUUUUAGGGGCCAGAGAGAUGGCUCAGUCGUUAAGAGCCCUUGUUGCUCUUUCAGAGGACCCAGGUUUGAUUUCCAGCACCCACAUGGCAGUUCACAAUCACCUGUAACUCCAGUUCCAGAGGGGUUGUCUCCUUCUGGCCUCCGUGGGCAGUAGGAAUGCACAUGGUGCACAAACAUACAUACAGGGAAACACAAGAGAAGACAUCUUCAUAGUCUUAAAAUGCACAAGCAUGGCAGACACUACUUGUGGCUAGGACUUCCAAGGCUCAUCUGGAGAUCAAGAAUUCUGUUUUUUAAAGACAGGGUCUGUCAUGGGCUCAGAACUUUCCAAGUACGCUAGACUGGCUAGCCAGCAAGACCAAGGACCUAUGUGUCUCCAUCUUCCCAGUGCUGUUAUAUGUGGGUAUCACUCAGGAACAGAAUUCUUUGAUGGCAAGCACUUCACCUGAGCUACCUCUCCAGCCCCACAUCAUUGUCAAUCAAAAAGUAGGGUGAAUGUGAACAGGCUCAUAAAUCACAGAAGCUGAAGACAGUUGUGUCCAAUAGUGAUUAACAGACAUUCCCCAGCAGCUAUUUCAUCCAUAAGGAACCUGUCCAAUCCAUCCAGCUUUUGCAGAUUUGAAGGUGACAACUUACGGUCUGCUUUUGACUUGGAAGACACUUUGGAGGCCACCAAAGGCAGAAAAUUCUCCUGUG
RNAcentral lists this long non-coding RNA (1285 nucleotides) under Cricetulus griseus (Chinese hamster). RNAcentral's name for it is "lncRNA (ENSCGRG00015039219.1)". Lineage: Eukaryota; Metazoa; Chordata; Mammalia; Rodentia; Cricetidae. The record is from RNAcentral.